ACGAACGCUGGCGGCAGGCUUAACACAUGCAAGUCGAGCGCCUCGCAAGAGGAGCGGCAGACGGGUGAGUAACGCGUGGGAAUCUACCCAUCUCUACGGAACAACUCCGGGAAACUGGAGCUAAUACCGUAUACGUCCUUCGGGAGAAAGAUUUAUCGGAGAUGGAUGAGCCCGCGUUGGAUUAGCUAGUUGGUGGGGUAAUGGCCUACCAAGGCGACGAUCCAUAGCUG
This 230-nucleotide ribosomal RNA is filed under the name Mesorhizobium sp. ISO503_OTU34. Its description in RNAcentral is "partial 16S ribosomal RNA". It matches the Rfam family "Bacterial small subunit ribosomal RNA", at positions 29 to 289 of the family's 1533-position model. The record is from RNAcentral. Lineage: Bacteria; Pseudomonadati; Pseudomonadota; Alphaproteobacteria; Hyphomicrobiales; Phyllobacteriaceae. RNAcentral also lists the same sequence under 58 other names.